RNAcentral lists this small RNA (2715 nucleotides) under Pongo abelii (Sumatran orangutan). Its description in RNAcentral is "retained intron". Lineage: Eukaryota; Metazoa; Chordata; Mammalia; Primates; Hominidae. The record is from RNAcentral.
CCUGCGCGGGCGCAGGCGGCCGGGAUGGCGGGGCCCGGCUGGGGUCCCCCGCGCCUGGACGGCUUCAUCCUCACCGAGCGCCUGGGCAGCGGCACGUACGCCACGGUGUACAAGGCCUACGCCAAGAAGGACACUCGUGAGGUGGUAGCCAUAAAGUGUGUAGCCAAGAAAAGUCUGAACAAGGCAUCGGUGGAGAACCUCCUCACGGAGAUUGAGAUCCUCAAGGGCAUUCGACAUCCCCACAUUGUGCAGCUGAAAGACUUUCAGUGGGACAGUGACAAUAUCUACCUCAUCAUGGAGUUUUGCGCAGGGGGCGACCUGUCUCGCUUCAUCCAUACCCGCAGGAUUCUGCCUGAGAAGGUGGCGCGUGUCUUCAUGCAGCAGUUAGCUAGCGCCCUGCAAUUCCUGCAUGAACGGAGUAUCUCUCACCUGGAUCUGAAGCCACAGAACAUUCUACUGAGCUCCUUGGAGAAGCCCCACCUAAAACUGGCAGACUUUGGUUUCGCACAACACAUGUCCCCGUGGGAUGAGAAGCACGUGCUCCGUGGCUCCCCCCUCUACAUGGCCCCCGAGAUGGUGUGCCAGCGGCAGUAUGACGCCCGCGUGGACCUCUGGUCCGUGGGGGUCAUCCUGUAUGGUGAGACCUCUUUUCCCUGCUUCUCACCCUGAGGCCUACACUGUUUCCUCAGGCAAGGCCUCUCUAGGCCACUUCUGAAGGGUUCUGAUGAAAACUGACUGCUGGCCCAGGGCCCCUGCUGAGGGGCGUCAGGCCAGGCUUGACCCAUUCCAUCCCAGCCUUCGCUCUGCCUCCCUUCCACAGAAGCCCUCUUCGGGCAGCCCCCCUUUGCCUCCAGGUCGUUCUCAGAGCUGGAAGAGAAGAUCCGUAGCAACCGGGUCAUUGAGCUCCCCUUGCGGCCCCUGCUCUCCCGAGACUGCCGGGACCUACUGCAGCGGCUCCUGGAGCGGGACCCCAGCCGUCGCAUCUCCUUCCAGGACUUCUUUGCGCACCCCUGGGUGGACCUGGAGCACAUGCCCAGUGGGGAGAGUCUGGGGCGAGCAACCGCCCUGGUGGUGCAGGCUGUGAAGAAAGACCAGGAGGGGGAUGCAGCAGCCGCCUUAUCACUCUACUGCAAGGCUCUGGACUUCUUCGUACCUGCCCUGCACUAUGAAGUGGAUGCCCAGCGGAAGGAGGCAAUUAAGGCAAAGGUGGGGCAGUACGUGUCCCGGGCUGAGGAGCUCAAGGCCAUCGUCUCCUCUUCCAAUCAGGCCCUGCUGAGGCAGGGGACCUCCGCCCGAGACCUGCUCAGAGAGAUGGCCCGGGACAAGCCACGCCUCCUAGCUGCCCUGGAAGUGGCUUCAGCUGCCAUGGCCAAGGAGGAGGCCGCUGGCGGGGAGCAGGAUGCCCUGGACCUGUACCAGCACAGCCUGGGGGAGCUGCUGCUGCUGCUGGCAGGCGAGAGCUGCUUCACACUGAGGUUCAGAACCUCAUGGCCCGAGCUGAAUACCUGAAGGAGCAGGCCAAGAUGAGGGAAUCUCGCUGGGAAGCUGACACCCUGGACAAAGAGGGACUGUCGGAAUCUGUUCGUAGCUCUUGCACCCUUCAGUGACCCUAGAAGAAUGAUUGGACAGACGUGAGCCAUCUGGAGCAGAGGGACACUAACCCAGGCUGACGCCAAGAAUGAAGUGGCCCACUGCAGCCCUGGCGAGCAGGCUUCUUAGAUGGACAGAGCUGAGACCCCCACAUCCCAGAGUCCCCAGCCUCCCUCAGGUUACUCUGCACCCCACAGAUGGUUUGAUGGCUGUGCUGUAUACUGGAGGGGAGGGCAGGACUCUGGGAGAACAGCACUUCUUUCAUGAGACCUUUGUUACUUGGUGGUUACUGGGUCCUGUGCCUGUCUGUUUUGGGGCAUGCAGCCGUCUAUCGUUUUUGGCUCCGAGAAGAGGGCAAGGGGCCUCUGCAGGGCACUUCUGUGCUUGCCCUCGCCCUGCCAGCAGGCAGCUGUGCCCCUGGCCUGCCCUUCCCGGGACCCCUUAUUCCAACUUAGCUCCUCUUUGCACUGGAAUGGGGCACUCCAACACCCCUCAGGGACCACCCUCCCCACAGUACGCACACGGCCCCACAGAACCCACCAGUCUUUCUGGGAACUCACACCCGCCCGCCAUCUUGGUACUUUAAGUUAAUCCUUCAAGCAUGAAAGUUGUGUCUUUUGUGGUUUAAGAAGCCCAUGCAUUGUUCCUGUCCUGGCCUAGGGAGCACUCAGGAGGGUUCCUUGGUCCUCAUCUCUCCCACCUCCAUUCCUCUUUGGGCCCCACACUAGCCACAGUGCAGGCCUUGUGCUGGAGUUUGAGCCUGGGACAGAGAGGGAGGCUUGGAGAUGGUCUGACCCAGUGCACUCCAGGCUACCCACUUCUAGGCCUGCUCUGCCACUGUGGAGCCCUGGGCAAGCCCCUUCCCCUUUCUGGGCCUGGGUCUCCCCAUCUCUUCAAUGGGGCUGAUACCUUCACAGCCCACAGCAUGGGCACUUAUGAGGACAAAGGAAUUUAACCUGGAAAAGAAUGUAUUUGAGAAUUUCUUUUAAAUAAUCAGCGGGUGUUGGUGAUUUCUAGCCCUUCUGCCCUUAAAUGCUUCCUUGGGCAAGAGUUGUCUGUCCUCCCUGCAGGAGGCUGAGUGUGAAGAGUAUCAUUCAUUGUUUCUCUAUUAAAUUAUUUUCUCUA